Molecule: ribosomal RNA, 94 nt
Filed under: Bacillus velezensis
Lineage: Bacteria; Bacillati; Bacillota; Bacilli; Caryophanales; Bacillaceae
Description: partial 16S rRNA. Bacterial SSU
Rfam family: Bacterial small subunit ribosomal RNA
Source: RNAcentral
CUUUAUCGGAGAGUUUGAUCCUGGCUCAGGACGAACGCUGGCGGCGUGCCUAAUACAUGCAAGUCGAGCGGACAGAUGGGAGCUUGCUCCCUGA